UACGGAGGGGGCAAGCGUUGUUCGGAAUUACUGGGCGUAAAGGGCGUGUAGGCGGUUAGGUAAGUCAGCUGUGAAAGCCCCGAGCUUAACUUGGGAAUUGCAACUGAAACUGCCUAGCUAGAGUUUUGGAGAGGAAAGCGGAACUCCCAGUGUAGCGGUGAAAUGCGUAGAUAUUGGGAGGAACACCGGUGGCGAAGGCGGCUUUCUGGACAAAAACUGACGCUGAGGCGCGAAAGCUAGGGGAGCAAACGGGAUUAGAUACCCCGGUAGUCCUAGCCGUAAACGAUGGAUACUGGGUGUUGAAGGUAUUGAGUCCUUCAGUGCCGAAGCUAACGCAUUAAGUAUCCCGCCUGGGGAGUACGGUCGCAAGACUGAA
Molecule: ribosomal RNA, 376 nt
Filed under: uncultured bacterium
Lineage: Bacteria
Description: bacterial SSU rRNA
Rfam family: Bacterial small subunit ribosomal RNA
Source: RNAcentral